CCUUCCUCGUGCCCGGCUCCCCUCAGCCCCGCGCCGGCCCCGCUCAGAGCUCCUUGUGAAGCCCCUCAACCAGCACAGAGCGCACGCGUUUUGCACAGAGUGCUUCAAACGUGUGUUGCUAUGUAAUGUGGAGUGACGUUUCCUACUGCCGCUGUCCCACAGAACCGGGCUCUGCAGCGCCUGUCCUCCCUAAGGUAAAGAACAGCAAAUGUAUGAAAAGCAGCCGUGAAACAUCAUAAGGAGAGGAAAAAUUGUAAUAUAAAAGUAGGACAACCAUAUUUUCCACAAACUUCUCAAGGCAUCUGAGGAUGUUUAUUUGGAAACAAACACUGCUGUGAAGGCUGGAUCUGACUGUACUAGCCUCAGUAUAAGUGCUAUUCACAUCAUAAGCAGUUUGCACCAUCCAAAGUAGCUAUCUGAAAGUACAGAGCUUUAUAUAACUGACUGUCAGCUGUCCAGCUACUGUAUCCUAUAUUCACCUUGUUACUGCUGGCAGCCUCCCUAGGCUGGGAAGCUCUGAUGAGAGACCAGGCACCAGUGCAUCAAUGCUCACACUCUUCAUCUUAGACAGAAGUACAUUGGCACUUUGUUGUUAUUGCUGUGAAAACCUAGGAAGAUAAAAUAGAAGUGUGGGAAGGUAUCUAAUAACUGAGCUGGUUUCCUGUGAUGUUCUAUACUGAAACUUGCCUGAGAGUUUUCUAAUGUCUGAAAAGAGAAGAGCAGAGAGAAUGGGGGAAGAGUACAUCCAGGGAUCUGGAUCCUUGGCCCAGGCUGAUGACCUUAAUGCAAAGCCACUUUUGGAAUGGAAGAGAGACUUGGACAAAGAAUCUGUGUCAAA
Meleagris gallopavo (turkey) is the source of this 838-nucleotide non-coding RNA. NCBI's taxonomy places the organism in Eukaryota, Metazoa, Chordata, Aves, Galliformes, Phasianidae. The record is from RefSeq and is a predicted model, not a curated record.